CCAAUAGCGUAUAUUAAAGUUGUUGCAGUUAAAAAGCUCGUAGUUGAAUUUCGGGAUCAAUACGUCGGUCGUGCUUUCGGGUACGUACUGGCGUCAUUGGUUUCUCCUUUCUGACGAACCAUGAUGUCAUUAAUUUGGUGUUAUGGGGAGUUAGGACUGUUACUUUGAAAAAAUUAGAGUGUUUAAAGCAGGCAUUAGCUUGAAUACAUUAGCAUGGAAUAAUGAAAUAGGACGUUCGAUCCUAUUUUGUUGGUUUCUAGGAUCAACGUAAUGAUUAAUAGGGAUAGUUGGGGGCAUUAGUAUUCAAUUGUCAGAGGUGAAAUUCUUGGAUUUAUUGAAGACUAACUACUGCGAAAGCAUUUGCCAAGGAUGUUUUCAUUAAUCAAGAACGAAAGUUAGGGGAUCGAAGACGAUCAGAUACCGUCGUAGUCUUAACCAUAAACUAUGCCGACUAGGGAUCGGAUGAUGUUAAUUUUUUAAUGACUCAUUCGGCGCCUUAC
Molecule: ribosomal RNA, 500 nt
Filed under: uncultured Glomeromycotina
Lineage: Eukaryota; Fungi; Glomeromycota
Description: partial small subunit ribosomal RNA
Rfam family: Eukaryotic small subunit ribosomal RNA
Source: RNAcentral